GAGGACCGUAUUCAUGGAAGAGGAUUGAACAGUAAAGAACCCAGCAAUUGGUAAAGAUGAGAAUAUAUCGCCUCAAGUAAAAGGAGAUGAAGACAUGGGAGAUGAAAUUGACAGUAUGUUGGCUACAUCUGGAGGUCUUUUCUCCUGAGAACACGGGACUCCAGCAUCUUCGGAUUCUGCUCUUGGAGGUGUGAGUCCCUGCCUCUCUGCACAGGGGAACUUAUGUCUCUCCACAUGUCCGCAAAUGUCUACCCAAGAUUAUACAUCUUCCAAAGGCUUUCAAAUACUUCUUUACAUAAACAAGGGGUUUGCCCCACAUCCUCUAUAUUGCAGAAAACAAGACUAGGCUCUACCUCUGUAGAUCAAGCACGACUGAAAUCCGUGCUCUCAAAAGAUGCUGGGGAGAAAGAGUGCCAUUCUUCACAAAUGCUGCUGCAUCAUUGGACUGAAAGUGAAUGGCCCAUGUGUUGCCACUGAUGUGAGCCAUUUGCCUGUUGUGCUUCA
RNAcentral lists this non-coding RNA (504 nucleotides) under Mus musculus (house mouse). Lineage: Eukaryota; Metazoa; Chordata; Mammalia; Rodentia; Muridae. The record is from RNAcentral.